Molecule: ribosomal RNA, 163 nt
Filed under: uncultured bacterium
Lineage: Bacteria
Description: partial 16S ribosomal RNA
Rfam family: Bacterial small subunit ribosomal RNA
Source: RNAcentral
UAGGGAAUCUUCCACAUGGACGCAAGUCUGAUGGAGCAACGCCGCGUGAGUGAAGAAGGGUUUCGGCUCGUAAAGCUCUGUUGUUAAAGAAGAACGUGGGUAAGAGUAACUGUUUACCCAGUGACGGUAUUUAACCAGAAAGCCACGGCUAACUACGUGCCAG